RNAcentral lists this ribosomal RNA (253 nucleotides) under uncultured bacterium. RNAcentral's name for it is "partial 16S ribosomal RNA". It matches the Rfam family "Bacterial small subunit ribosomal RNA", at positions 524 to 776 of the family's 1533-position model. The record is from RNAcentral.
UACGGAGGGUCCAAGCGUUAUCCGGAAUCAUUGGGUUUAAAGGGUCCGUAGGCGGUUUUGUAAGUCAGUGGUGAAAACCCAUCGCUCAACGGUGGAACGGCCAUUGAUACUGCAAGACUUGAAUUAUUGGGAAGUAACUAGAAUAUGUAGUGUAGCGGUGAAAUGCUUAGAGAUUACAUGGAAUACCAAUUGCGAAGGCAGGUUACUACCAAUAUAUUGACGCUGAUGGACGAAAGCGUGGGGAGCGAACAGG